RNAcentral lists this ribosomal RNA (1390 nucleotides) under Coconut palm phytoplasma. RNAcentral's name for it is "bacterial SSU rRNA". It matches the Rfam family "Bacterial small subunit ribosomal RNA". Lineage: Bacteria; Bacillati; Mycoplasmatota; Mollicutes; Acholeplasmatales; Acholeplasmataceae. The record is from RNAcentral.
CAUGCAAGUCGAACGGAAAUCUUUUAGAUUUUAGUGGCGAACGGGUGAGUAACACGUAAGCAACCUGCCUUUAAGACGAGAAUAACAAUUGGAAACAGUUGCUAAGGCUGGAUAGGAAAUAAAAAGGAAUCUUUUUAUUUUUAAAAGACCUUUUUCGGAAGGUAUGCUUAAAGAGGGGCUUGCGUCACAUUAGUUAGUUGGUAGGGUAAAGGCCUACCAAGACGAUGAUGUGUAGCUGGACUGAGAGGUUGAACAGCCACAUUGGGACUGAGACACGGCCCAAACUCCUACGGGAGGCAGCAGUAGGGAAUUUUCGGCAAUGGAGGAAACUCUGACCGAGCAACGCCGCGUGAACGACGAAGUACUUCGGUAUGUAAAGUUCUUUUAUUGAAGAAGAAACAAUAGUGGAAAAACUAUCUUGACGUUAUUCAAUGAAUAAGCCCCGGCUAACUAUGUGCCAGCAGCCGCGGUAAUACAUAGGGGGCGAGCGUUAUCCGGAAUUAUUGGGCGUAAAGGGUGCGUAGGCGGUUUAAUAAGUCUCUAGUUUAAUUUCAGCGCUUAACGUUGUCCUGCUAGAGAAACUGUUUAACUAGAGUGAGAUAGAGGUAAGCGGAAUUCCAUGUGUAGCGGUAAAAUGUGUAAAUAUAUGGAGGAACACCAGAGGCGUAGGCGGCUUACUGGGUCUUUACUGACGCUGAUGCACGAAAGCGUGGGGAGCAAACAGGAUUAGAUACCCUGGUAGUCCACGCCGUAAACUAUGGGUACUAAGUGUCGGGGUUAAACUCGGUACUGAAGUUAACACAUUAAGUACUCCGCCUGAGUAGUACGUACGCAAGUAUGAAACUUAAAGGAAUUGACGGGAUCCCGCACAAGCGGUGGACCAUGUUGUUUAAUUCGAAGAUACACGAAAAACCUUACCAGGUCUUGACAUACUCUGCAAAGCUAUAGAAAUAUAGUGGAGGUUAUCAGGGAUACAGGUGGUGCAUGGUUGUCGUCAGCUCGUGUCGUGAGAUGUUAGGUUAAGUUCUAAAACGAGCGCAACCCCUGUCGUUAAUUGCCAGCACGUUAUGGUGGGGACUUUAGCGAGACUGCCAAUGAAAAAUUGGAGGAAGGUGGGGAUUACGUCAAAUCAUCAUGCCCCUUAUGAUCUGGGCCACAAACGUGAUACAAUGGCUAUUACAAAGAGUAGCUGAAACGCGAGUUUUCGGCAAAUCUCAAAAAAAUAGUCUCAGUUCGGAUUGAAGUCUGCAACUCGACUUCAUGAAGUUGGAAUCGCUAGUAAUCGCGAAUCAGCAUGUCGCGGUGAAUACGUUCUCGGGGUUUGUACACACCGCCCGUCAAACCACGAAAGUGGACAAUACCCGAAAGCGACAGCCUAACUGCGUAAGCA